Molecule: ribosomal RNA, 408 nt
Filed under: uncultured bacterium
Lineage: Bacteria
Description: bacterial SSU rRNA
Rfam family: Bacterial small subunit ribosomal RNA
Source: RNAcentral
AAUCAACGCUGGCGGCGUGCCUCAGACAUGCAAGUCGAACGCGAAAGUCCCCUUCGGGGGACAAGUAGAGUGGCGCACGGGUGAGUAACACGUAGGUAAUCUACCUUCGGAUGGGGAAUAACAACCGGAAACGGUUGCUAAUACCGCAUAAUGCAGCGGCACCUAAUGGUGACAGUUGUUAAAGCGGGGGAUCGUUAAGACCUCGCGUCUGAAGAGGAGCCUGCGGCGGAUUAGCUAGNGGUAGGGUAACGGCCUACCAAGGCGACGAUCCGUAGCCGGCCUGAGAGGGCGGUCGGCCACACUGACACUGACAUACGGGUCAGACUCCUACGGGAGGCAGCAGUCGGGAAUUUUGGGCAAUGGGCGAAAGCCUGACCCAGCAACGCCGCGUGAAGGAUGAAAUCCCUC